AGAAGAUCCAAUGCCAAUUUUAUGUGCAAAUCUACCCAUCAACAUCCCAUUUUGAGAUUGCUGCCUCACUUGUAUUUACUAGGUGAAUUUUUAUUGUAGGCUUUUCAUUGGACUUCAUGUCCUUAUUUGGUACAUAGAUGCUAAUUUCCUAACUUCUUGAAAAGAGAUACUUGUUGAGAAAAUUUUAUUCUAUAAAGUUACUAUUUAUAGUGUUGGCUUAUUCAUUCACCUUCCCUAGGGAGCAGUACUUGAUUCCUUAAUGAAUUUCAUUUGUGUCCAACUCUAUGUAUGAGUGAUUGAUCAUAAUUACUAUUGGUUCAUACAAAGUUUGUCCCAAUCUUGGAUGAAGAUCUAGCAUAAAAUUGUCACAUCUAUGUGAUAUGAGUUCAGACUACCUAAAACUAAGUAGAAUGAAGAAUCCUGACUAGAUUGAGAUUAAAGGUUAGUUGAACUGAGCCAUUUUUGGCCCGAAAAACUUCUUUUUAGACAUAUAGUUUAUAAUAAUACUCUCAUCUCAACAUAUGGUUUCCUUUUGUAAGUUUGAAGGUUAAUUUCGUUAACCUGUUCUUUCAUCUAUUCUAAAAGUUUGAACUUACUAACUUUGCUUCUUCCCCCUUGUAGGUUAUUUGUUGAAAAAUAAGGAAGUUGAGUGAUCAAAAUGGAAGUCCAGUGUUUUCACUUUUGCACUUCUUGCCAGAGAGAAAGAGAGCUUCUAUGGCUAUUUCCUAGAGUUCAAUUUGUUGAGCUUUCUAUACAAAUGUUCACAUGCUUAGUACUGUCUUUUUCUUCCUGUUUUGUGUGUAACCUUUUUCUGUUAUGCACUGUAUCUUCAUAUGUUAAAACAACAAUCAUUCUGCGUGAUUUUACUGUUGGUAUUAGAGCAAUCCGGCUGAGGCACUACCGUGGCAAUGGUUGUUUGAAAUAACUGUUGUCAUUGACUGAAGUUUUAUGUUUGAGCAGUACCACCUGAUUCUGUAAUUAUGCAUUCAAAUGAAAUUAAUUUCUGUAGUUUCUGUCCAUUCAGUACUAGAGCAGACAUUUGAAUCUAAUAUUUAAGAUUUUUCUCAGCAAAGCAUUUCUGGUGUAUACAUAUAAUGCGGCACUUAUACCUUGAUGUCUUGUUUGUACGCUUGGAAUAGAAAGAUUAAUAUAUGUACAUAUUUCCUACCAUGCAGCUUGCAGAGGCUGCUAAAU
Molecule: unclassified non-coding RNA, 1194 nt
Filed under: Hevea brasiliensis (rubber tree)
Lineage: Eukaryota; Viridiplantae; Streptophyta; Magnoliopsida; Malpighiales; Euphorbiaceae
Source: RNAcentral